AAAAACCGAAACAAAUUUGUUUUUUAGUUUUAAAAGCUUUUAUAUGACACAUCUGCUUGAAAUUUUCCAUCACCAAAGCGCAAACUGUCUGCUGUAUGCCAUAAAUAGCUUCACGAAAUCUACCGUUGAGGUCUUUAGUCGACGUUGGCGUGUUGGCACAUCUUUUCGAUGGAGAAUAGGCAAGGUGUUAAAGAACAAGAUCCCGGUUUCCAAUUGCGAUCACCUCUUCGAGAGAUAACACGGUGCGGAAACUUUCCCUUAACAGAUUGAUGGCUUAUUUGCUUGUGUGCGCCAGAUCCUGCCGGAAUCAUAAACCGCACCAAACAGUUAACAAUAAAUCUUGGGUUUUCCAAGCCCCCAAAUGCGAGAGUUGUGCUUAGUGACGUAGCCAGCAAGGUGGAAAUGGGCCUCAGCAGUCAAUAUGAUUUUUCGAUGAAAUUCCAGAUCAAUUUCCGCUCAGAAAAGACACGACGUUGUUGAUGAUCGGUUAGCUUGAGGUUAACUGAAUUUUAAAAGCCUUAAAUGGGUCUUUAUGUAAUAUACGGUGUAAUGACGUCAAAAAAAAAACAGCUUCAAAACUUUUUCCGAUGAAUUUUCGAUAACAAAAAAAUAAAAAAAUGUGUCGAAUCCGUUAUGAUUGAUUGAGCUACUAAUUACGAAAGGAAGGAAAGAAUACAGUUGGGAAAUGGAUUAAAGUGCGGUGGAGACAAACAAACUACAUAUAUACGAUUCAUUCAAGCAAUAAACUCAUUUUUCUCAGAGUCUGGUCUGGUCUAGAGCGCAAAAAAAUGGGCAAAUUUUAUGAAUUUCUUUUGACCCAACAAAGGAAUCAAUCCAAAA
Molecule: long non-coding RNA, 840 nt
Organism: Ceratitis capitata (Mediterranean fruit fly)
Lineage: Eukaryota; Metazoa; Arthropoda; Insecta; Diptera; Tephritidae
Exons: 3
Source: RefSeq, a predicted model, not a curated record